UGAGGCUGCUCGUGCAAGAAAGAAUAAGAAAGUUGUGCAAUCCGAUAUUUAUUCUGCACCUGAAACCCAACAAAAUAUGGGAAAAGGUCAUAGAAAAAAAGGCCAACUAAACAGUUUAUGAAUGAUUUCAGCAGUGAUGACUGUAGUGUUGAAGUGUACGGGUCAACUCAACCAGAGCUUUCUUCUGUUCCGGUGGAUUGGCUGAAAAUGCUGUUGAGCAUUGCAAAGUUGUUAAUGGUUCUACACAUCAAGUUCAACAAAUGCCACAGUUGAGUCAAUCACUUUAUGUCAAUUCUCCAUUUGCUAGGCCGUCAAUGGCUGCCAACAGACGUGUUUUUAGUGAUAGUCCCAAGCAUUUUGUUCAACAAAAACCGCCUUCAAAUCGGCUGUUUGAUGUCAACUCUCCAUUGGCUGGCUCAUCAUCAACGUCUGCAAACAUAAGAGUUAUUGUUCAUGUUGAACAAGUACCUGUUGUACAAGAAAUUCAACUGUAUGUUCCUCUAAACUCUGCAAUGGCAGGGCCAUCAAUGGUUACCGAUAACUACGAUUCCUAUGAUCGAUGAGAUGGAUUCUCGCCUUCCUUUGGAUCAGCGGAAAGAUCAGUUAACCGCUAUUUGCCAGCGACGGCUAACAACUUGACAGAAGAAAAGAUGUAAAAGAACCUUUCCCCCUGGUGAGGGAAUGGUUGAAAGAGCAAGAAAACAUCUCUAACGUUAUUGUAAAACUGAUUGUAUUCGAGGGGAAGGGCGAGAUGGAAACCUCGUCCAACCAGCUCGUAUAUACACCACCAGUUCAUCCCUUAUGCUAGCUUAAACCCCUGAAAGAAAUAGAAGAAAUAUGAGCGAUGGUAUUCUAUUUUCUCGAUCAAGGUUAUGAUCGAUGAGAGUUCACAGGAAAAGAAGGGUAAAAAAGAUACAAUAUUUACUGCAGCUGUGCUUGAAGCUCGUAGGCCAGACAAGUUCAAACUUGUUUGAUCUCGUUCUCUUUUUGUUUUGGUGGAAUUUACGGUACAGCACAUCGCCAAUUUAUUGAUCAAAUUCAAUUUCUUUGACCCGAAAAGGAUUACUUGUUUGAUGUUCGUCUGUUAGUUUUACAUUAACUAAGUAAUUUCCAAUGUGCACGUACAUUUUCUUGAAUGGCUGCGAUUUUUAUUCCAGAUAAACAAUUUUCAUUUGAUGAACUCUCCUUUGCUUGUAUUGUUUUCUAUAGUUUAUACUUUC
Long non-coding RNA from Daphnia magna, 1220 nucleotides. RefSeq lists it as uncharacterized. The transcript is spliced from 3 exons. The record is from RefSeq and is a predicted model, not a curated record. NCBI's taxonomy places the organism in Eukaryota, Metazoa, Arthropoda, Branchiopoda, Diplostraca, Daphniidae.